CUAAGUUUGAUGGCGACCGGCGCACGGGUGAGUAACACGUAUCCAACCUGCCGAUGACUCGGGGAUAGCCUUUCGAAAGAAAGAUUAAUACCCGAUGGCAUAGUUCUUCCGCAUGGUAGAACUAUUAAAGGAAUUUCGGUCAUCGAUGGGGAUGCGUUCCAUUAGGUUGUUGGCGGGGUAACGGCCCACCAAGCCUUCGAUGGAUAGGGGUUCUGAGAGGAAGGUCCCCCACAUUGGAACUGAGACACGGUCCAAACUCCUACGGGAGGCAGCAUG
RNAcentral lists this ribosomal RNA (276 nucleotides) under uncultured bacterium. RNAcentral describes it as "partial 16S ribosomal RNA". It matches the Rfam family "Bacterial small subunit ribosomal RNA", at positions 79 to 353 of the family's 1533-position model. The record is from RNAcentral.